RNAcentral lists this ribosomal RNA (459 nucleotides) under uncultured bacterium. RNAcentral's name for it is "partial 16S ribosomal RNA". It matches the Rfam family "Bacterial small subunit ribosomal RNA", at positions 338 to 795 of the family's 1533-position model. The record is from RNAcentral.
CCUACGGGCGGCGGCAGUGAGGAAUAUUGGUCAAUGGGCGCGAGCCUGAACCAGCCAAGUAGCGUGAAGGAUGACUGCCCUACGGGUUGUAAACUUCUUUUAUAAAGGAAUAAAGUGAGGCACGUGUGCCUUUUUGUAUGUACUUUAUGAAUAAGGAUCGGCUAACUCCGUGCCAGCAGCCGCGGUAAUACGGAGGAUGCGAGCGUUAUCCGGAUUUAUUGGGUUAAAAGGGUGCGUAGGCGGGAUGCCAAGUAAGCGGUAACAAUGCGGUGCUCAACGCCGUCGAGCCGUUGAAACUGGCGUUCUUGAGUGGGCGAGAAGUAUGCGGAAUGCGUGGUGUAGCGGUGAAAUGCAUAGAUAUCACGCAGAACUCCGAUUGCGAAGGCAGCAUACCGGCGCCCUACUGACGCUGAGGCACGAAAGCGUGGGUAUCGAACAGGAUUAGAUACCCGAGUAGUC